RNAcentral lists this ribosomal RNA (447 nucleotides) under uncultured bacterium. RNAcentral's name for it is "bacterial SSU rRNA". It matches the Rfam family "Bacterial small subunit ribosomal RNA", at positions 330 to 793 of the family's 1533-position model. The record is from RNAcentral.
CCCAGACUCCUACGGGAGGCAGCAGUGGGGGAUAUUGCACAAUGGGGGGAACCCUGAUGCAGCGACGCCGCGUGGGUGAAGAAGUAUUUCGGUAUGUAAAGCCCUAUCGGCAGGGAAGAAUUUAGACGGUACCUGGCUAAGAAGCCCCGGCUAACUACGUGCCAGCAGCCGCGGUAAUACGUAGGGGGCAAGCGUUAUCCGGAUUCACUGGGUGUAAAGGGAGCGUAGACGGCCAUGCAAGCCUGGAGUGAAAGCCCGGGGCCCAACCCCGGGACUGCUCUGGGAACUGUGCGGCUGGAGUGCGGGAGGGGCAGGCGGAAUUCCUGGUGUAGCGGUGAAAUGCGUAGAUAUCAGGAGGAACGCCGGCGGCGAAGGCGGCCUGCUGGACCGCGACUGACGUUGAGGCUCGAAAGCGUGGGGAGCAAACAGGAUUAGAUACCCGUGUAU